CAAUAGCGUAUAUUAAAGUUGUUGCAGUUAAAAAGCUCGUAGUUGGAUUUGUGGUGUACUUUGGCGGCCCGUCACUAUGUGAUGGAGCUUGCUGAAGUCGCCAUCCUUGGGUGGAUCCUGUGUGGCAUUAAGUUGUCGUGCAGGGGAUGCCCAUCGUUUACUGUGAAAAAAUUAGAGUGUUCAAAGCAGGCUUAUGCCGUUGAAUAUAUUAGCAUGGAAUAAUAAGAUAGGACCUUGGUACUAUUUUGUUGGUUUGCGCACCAAGGUAAUGAUUAAUAGGGACAGUUGGGGGUAUUCGUAUUUCAUUGUCAGAGGUGAAAUUCUUGGAUUUUUGAAAGACGAACUACUGCGAAAGCAUUUACCAAGGAUGUUUNCAUUA
Molecule: ribosomal RNA, 379 nt
Filed under: uncultured eukaryote
Lineage: Eukaryota
Description: partial 18S ribosomal RNA
Rfam family: Eukaryotic small subunit ribosomal RNA
Source: RNAcentral